UCAAACUUGGUCAUUUAGAGGAAGUAAAAGUCGUAACAAGGUUUCCGUAGGUGAACCUGCGGAAGGAUCAUUACCGUGCCUCGUCGGGACGCCCCCCUGGGCGUUCCCGCACCGGCCACCCGUGUCUACCGAACCUCUGUUGCCUCGGCGGGCCCGCCGCCCCGGACUGUUUUGUCCAGGGGGGGCCGUCGGGGGCGCCUUCACCGCGCCCCGGGCCCGUGCCCGCCGCAGGGACUCUCGAACUCGUGUGAAGCAAGUGAGACAGGAGUCUGAGAACCAAUCAAACGCAGUUAAAACUUUCAACAACGGAUCUCUUGGUUCCGGCAUCGAUGAAGAACGCAGC
This 343-nucleotide unclassified non-coding RNA is filed under the name uncultured fungus. Its description in RNAcentral is "partial contains small subunit ribosomal RNA, internal transcribed spacer 1, and 5.8S ribosomal RNA". The stretch from base 1 to 73 matches the Rfam family "Eukaryotic small subunit ribosomal RNA", at positions 1759 to 1831 of the family's 1831-position model. The record is from RNAcentral. Lineage: Eukaryota; Fungi.